AGAUUGAACGCUGGCGGCAUGCCUUACACAUGCAAGUCGAACGGCAGCGCGGGAGCAAUCCUGGUGGCGAGUGGCGAACGGGUGAGUAAUACAUCGGAACGUGCCCAAUCGUGGGGGAUAACGCAGCGAAAGCUGUGCUAAUACCGCAUAAGAUCUACGGAUGAAAGCAGGGGAUCGCAAGACCUUGCGCGAAUGGAGCGGCCGAUGGCAGAUUAGGUAGUUGGUGAGGUAAAGGCUCACCAAGCCUUCGAUCUGUAGCUGGUCUGAGAGGACGACCAGCCACACUGGGACUGAGACACGGCCCAGACUCCUACGGGAGGCAGCAGUGGGGAAUUUUGGACAAUGGGCGAAAGCCUAGAUCCAGCCA
Molecule: ribosomal RNA, 367 nt
Filed under: uncultured soil bacterium
Lineage: Bacteria
Description: bacterial SSU rRNA
Rfam family: Bacterial small subunit ribosomal RNA
Source: RNAcentral